CAGAGAAACAAGGAUCUCGUGUGCAUCCUUCUUCAAAGCAGUGUCAGAAUCAAACAUGUUCCACCUUGGGCAUCUUAUUGUCUUAUGCAGCUUGUGCGUUGGGACCUCAAGUCCACUUUCUGAGGCUAUCCACAGUAUCCUGAAGAACAUGGACUCUCUGAAUUCUCUCUUAGCAAAUUUUCUGAUUUUAACAUUACCUUCCCAACUCUUGAUGGAGUUUCUCAAAUUCACAGGAGAUCAACAGACUCUCAAGUCGACACUGACACAGAUAUCCUUCAAAACCGGAGUCUGACUAUAAGGUCACUUCAGGAAACCAUAGCUUGGUCAUUAGCCAAGGACAGGAUUCUAGAAGGUUUGAAAACACUGGAUUUGGGUACAUUAAUCCCAAAGUUAAGGUGAGUCAGUGCUUCUUUGCUCUCAGAAAAGGGACUACUCCUCUGAGGAGAUGAAUUCAAUUUCAGAGGUAGAUGGAUAAGCCUCUCGUUCCCCACAGAGAUGAAGAGUUCUAAGACAAGGCUCAUUAGAACUUGACUAAGACUGAGGCUGAGCUACAGGGCCAGUGUGAAUACUUCAUACAUCUGGGUUCCGAGGUUGCAAAUCAAGGAACCCAGAAUUUUGGAGCCGAAACUUGACCUGUCUUCCAGUGGUGAUGAUAUUACCCUAAGGAUGCCUGUGGUUUUGGUUGUAUCUGUAAGGGUGCUGUAAGUUGAGUCACUUGGACUUAUGGGGUCGGGUGGAAUAUGGCCAGUAUUGAGUAGUCACUUAAUUUCUAGUAACUACCUGACUUCUGCCCUCAGUUUGCUAACAUGUAAACGAG
RNAcentral lists this long non-coding RNA (817 nucleotides) under Mus musculus (house mouse). RNAcentral's name for it is "predicted gene, 21718". The record is from RNAcentral. Lineage: Eukaryota; Metazoa; Chordata; Mammalia; Rodentia; Muridae.